AACAGUGUGCAGACCUUCCUCCACCUAGACUUUUAUUUUCCCCUUACUUUCUCCCACCCACGGCUGCCGAAAGAGACAAUGUAGCCACCACACAGAGGCAUCCACAGGGAAUGGGGCUCAGACCUCAAUGGGGCUCAGAUCUUUUAGGGUCCUGCCGUGGACCCCAGGGUGUUCAGACUGUGAGCUCCCUACAUGUGGGCCCUUGCUGGUGCUGCCUGCCCCGUGACUCCAGCAGAGCGGGGCAAACCCCGAGGUGAAGGGACAUUGAGCCAGCUUGGGCACCCCAUGGGUGACUUGGGACCAGCCUAUUUUCUUUUGCUUUAAAGCUACCUGAUGAUUUGGAUGCUACAAAUGCCACUGCCCAGCACCUAGUUUCUCUUGACAAGUGGAGCCAAAAGCCUCUUCCUAUCAUGCGUUACAAGAGGCCCAGAAAAUAGGGAAUCCUGUAUGCCAGGACUCAGAGACGAGCAGUGUCUGUUAAAAGAACUGAUAAUUUAAAAAUAAUCUGAAGAGACUACAAGCAAAUCUUUAUGUUCCCCAAAUUUUAAAAAUAAAUGAAGGUGAGAAAAUUCUGAAGCCACAUCGGCACGAGAGGACGAACUGUGGCGGCAUCCGUGCUGGCCCAGAGGGAGCCUGUCAUCCCUAAGCUUACUUUAGGAGCAGAAUCAAGGUUUGGAUGAAAGCUGCCCCUCUACUGCGAAUCUCCUUUCCAAGUCCAUAUUGGAGCCUGGGGGUUAUUCCAAGAGCACCUCCUGACAUUAAUAUCUGAAAGAAAUUGAGAGGUCGUCUCAGCAUCUCGACAUGGAGCGUCACCGUUUAUAGUCCAAGAGACUUCUGGUGAGUCAGCGUCGCUUUCAUCCCGUGAAGAACAGGCGCUUCCUGCGCAGCGGUUUUUCCCGAGCUAAAGCGCAGCGAUGCGCAGUGGGGCAGCCACCUUCUCGCCCCGAAGGCUGCCUUUCCCAGCCUCCCUCGUAGCUGGGUGGAUCCCGUGGCUACACUUCAGCCAGUGACGUGUACAGAAAAGACUGUAUGGUUUCGGAGCAGUCUCUUUGCUAGGGAGGGUGUGGGCCCCUCUGCCCUUACUCCUCCCCACUGCCCAGAACGCCUGCGUGAUGGCUGCAGCUGCAGCAAUCUUGGGCGGUCCUGCAUCCCUGAGGAUAAGCAGACUCAGACCCAGGUUUGCCCUGUGGCUCUUCUGGGUUUGUCUGGGUCGGCACCUAAUCCUGCCUGACGUGGGCCGCUGUGGCCUGCGCUGGAGAGAAAGCUCCUUCCUGAAAGGCCGCAGAGUGAAACGGUAACGUGGUUAAGCUCUGUACUAGGGAAUUGAGGUGAUUGCCAUUUUUUCUACUUCUUAACUUUUUGUUAAUUUUUUACAGUCAACAAGCAUUACAUAAUAGACAUUAAAAAGGAAAACAAAAAAGGAAAUGGCAAAGGGCAUCAACAAGCAAUUCAGAGCCAGAAAUAUGCAUUUAGCUGCCAUGAAAAUAAUGUUCAACUUCUUGGGUUAUUAAAUGGAAACCAAAAUA
This is a long non-coding RNA of Lemur catta (Ring-tailed lemur), 1526 nucleotides long. RefSeq lists it as uncharacterized. The record is from RefSeq and is a predicted model, not a curated record. The transcript has 3 exons. Lineage: Eukaryota; Metazoa; Chordata; Mammalia; Primates; Lemuridae.